UGGCAUAUACAAAGAGAAGCGACCUCGCGAGAGCAAGCGGACCUCAUAAAGUAUGUCGUAGUCCGGAUUGGAGUCUGCAACUCGACUCCAUGAAGUCGGAAUCGCUAGUAAUCGUAGAUCAGAAUGCUACGGUGAAUACGUUCCCGGGCCUUGUACACACCGCCCGUCACACCAUGGGAGUGGGUUGCAAAAGAAGUAGGUAGCUUAACCUUCGGGAGGGCGCUUACCACUUUGUGAUUCAUGACUGGGGUGAAGUCGUAACAAGGUAACCGUAGGGGAACCUGCGGUUGGAUCACCUCCUUACCUUAAAGAA
This 313-nucleotide ribosomal RNA is filed under the name Klebsiella pneumoniae. RNAcentral describes it as "partial 16S ribosomal RNA". It matches the Rfam family "Bacterial small subunit ribosomal RNA", at positions 1231 to 1533 of the family's 1533-position model. Lineage: Bacteria; Pseudomonadati; Pseudomonadota; Gammaproteobacteria; Enterobacterales; Enterobacteriaceae. The record is from RNAcentral.